AGAGUUUGAUCAUGGCUCAGAGCGAACGCUGNNGGAAUGCUUAACACAUGCAAGUCGCACGGGCAGCAAUGUCAGUGGCGGACGGGUGAGUAACGCGUAGGAAUGUGUCCUGGGAUGGGGGGAUAACGUCGGGAAACUGGCGCUAAUACCGCAUGUGGCCUGAGGGUCAAAGCCGCGAGGCGUCUUAGGAGCAGCCUGCGUCCGAUUAGCUUGUUGGUGGGGUAAAGGCUUACCAAGGCGACGAUCGGUAGCUGGUCUGAGAGGAUGAUCAGCCACACUGGAACUGAGACACGGUCCAGACUCCUACGGGAGGCAGCAGUGGGGAAUAUUGGACAAUGGGCGCAAGCCUGAUCCAGCAAUUCCGCGUGGGUGAAGAAGGUCUUCGGAUUGUAAAGCCCUUUCGACGGGGACGAUGAUGACGGUACCCGUAGAAGAAGCCCCGGCUAACUUCGUGCCAGCAGCCGCGGUAAUACGAAGGGGGCUAGCGUUGCUCGGAAUGACUGGGCGUAAAGGGCGCGUAGGCGGCACACACAGUCAGGCGUGAAAUUCCUGGGCUUAACCUGGGGGCUGCGUUUGAUACAUGUGAGCUAGAGGAUGGAAGAGGCUCGUGGAAUUCCCAGUGUAGAGGUGAAAUUCGUAGAUAUUGGGAAGAACACCGGUGGCGAAGGCGGCGAGCUGGUCCAUUACUGACGCUGAGGCGCGAAAGCGUGGGGAGCAAACAGGAUUAGAUACCCUAGUAGUCC
RNAcentral lists this ribosomal RNA (743 nucleotides) under uncultured bacterium. Its description in RNAcentral is "bacterial SSU rRNA". It matches the Rfam family "Bacterial small subunit ribosomal RNA", at positions 8 to 796 of the family's 1533-position model. The record is from RNAcentral.